UACGGAGGGGGCUAGCGUUGUUCGGAAUUACUGGGCGUAAAGCGCACGUAGGCGGCUUUGUAAGUUAGAGGUGAAAGCCCGGGGCUCAACUCCGGAACUGCCUUUAAGACUGCAUCGCUAGAAUUGUGGAGAGGUAAGUGGAAUUCCGAGUGUAGAGGUGAAAUUCGUAGAUAUUCGGAAGAACACCAGUGGCGAAGGCGACUUACUGGACACAUAUUGACGCUGAGGUGCGAAAGCGUGGGGAGCGAAAGGG
This 253-nucleotide ribosomal RNA is filed under the name uncultured bacterium. RNAcentral describes it as "partial 16S ribosomal RNA". It matches the Rfam family "Bacterial small subunit ribosomal RNA", at positions 524 to 776 of the family's 1533-position model. The record is from RNAcentral.